RNAcentral lists this ribosomal RNA (430 nucleotides) under uncultured archaeon. RNAcentral's name for it is "bacterial SSU rRNA". It matches the Rfam family "Archaeal small subunit ribosomal RNA", at positions 474 to 903 of the family's 1478-position model. The record is from RNAcentral.
CACCGGCGGCCCGAGUGGUAACCGUUUUUAUUGGGUCUAAAGGGUCUGUAGCCGGCCAAGUAAGUCCUUUGGGAAAUCUGGUAGCUCAACUAUCAGGCUGCCAGGGGAUACUGCUUGGCUUGGGACCGGGAGAGGUGAGAGGUACCUCGGGGGUAGGGGUGAAAUCUUGUGAUCCUCGAGGGACCACCAGUGGCGAAGGCGUCUCACCAGAACGGGUCCGACGGUAAGGGACGAAAGCUAGGGGCACGAACCGGAUUAGAUACCCGGGUAGUCCUAGCCGUAAACGAUGCUCGCUAGGUGUCAGUCACGGUGCGACCGUGAUUGGUGCCGUAUGGAAGCCGUGAAGCGAGCCACCUGGGAAGUAUGGCCGCAAGGCUGAAACUUAAAGGAAUUGGCGGGGGAGCACUACAACGGGUGGAGCCUGCGGUUC